Molecule: ribosomal RNA, 269 nt
Filed under: uncultured bacterium
Lineage: Bacteria
Description: partial 16S ribosomal RNA
Rfam family: Bacterial small subunit ribosomal RNA
Source: RNAcentral
CCCGGCGACCGGCGCACGGGUGAGUAACACGUAUGCAACCUGGCCGCCACAGGGGGAUAACCCGCGGAAACGCGGCCUAAUACCCCGUGACGCCACCGGAGGGCAUCCUCCGGUGGCCAAAGGAGCGAUCCGGUGGCGGAUGGGCAUGCGGCGCAUUAGCUAGACGGCGGGGUGACAGCCCACCGUGGCGACGAUGCGUAGGGGUUCUGAGAGGAAGGCCCCCCACACUGGGACUGAGACACGGCCCAGACUCCUACGGAAGGCAGCAG